Molecule: ribosomal RNA, 465 nt
Filed under: uncultured bacterium
Lineage: Bacteria
Description: partial 16S ribosomal RNA
Rfam family: Bacterial small subunit ribosomal RNA
Source: RNAcentral
CUACGGGGUGCUCCAGUGAGGAAUUUUGCGCAAUGGGGGAAACCCUGACGCAGCGACGCCGCGUGGGUGAUGAAGGCUUUCGAGUCGUAAAGCCCUGUCAAGUGGGAAGAAGUGCAGGUAGGCUAAUACCCUAUGUGCUUGACGGUACCACUAAAGGAAGCACCGGCUAACUCCGUGCCAGCAGCCGCGGUAAUACGGAGGGUGCAAGCGUUAAUCGGAAUUACUGGGCGUAAAGGGCGCGUAGACGGCCUGGUAAGUCUGGUGUGAAAGUCCACGGCUCAACCGUGGAAGUGCAUCAGAUACUGCAGGGCUUGAGUAUCGGAGGGGAAAGUGGAAUUCCAGGUGUAGAGGUGAAAUUCGUAGAUAUCUGGAGGAACACCGGUGGCGAAGGCGACUUUCUGGACGAAUACUGACGCUGAGGCGCGAAAGCGUGGGGAGCAAACAGGAUUAGAUACCCCAGUAGUC